CCUACGGGAGGCAGCAGUGAGGAAUAUUGGUCAAUGGACGAGAGUCUGAACCAGCCAAGUAGCGUGAAGGAUGACUGCCCUAUGGGUUGUAAACUUCUUUUAUAUGGGAAUAAAACGUUCCACGUGUGGGAUUUUGUAUGUACCAUAUGAAUAAGGAUCGGCUAACUCCGGGCCAGCAGCCGCGGUAAUACGGAGGAUCCGAGCGUUAUCCGGAUUUAUUGGGUUUAAAGGGAGCGUAGGUGGAUUGUUAAGUCAGUUGUGAAAGUUUGCGGCUCAACCGUAAAAUUGCAGUUGAAACUGGCAGUCUUGAGUACAGUAGAGGUGAGCGGAAUUCGUGGUGUAGCGGUGAAAUGCUUAGAUAUCACGAAGAACUCCGAUUGCGAAGGCAGUUCACUGGACUGCAACUGACACUGAGGCUCGAAAGUGUGGGUAUCAAACAGGAUUAGAUACCCUUGUAGUC
Molecule: ribosomal RNA, 460 nt
Filed under: uncultured bacterium
Lineage: Bacteria
Description: partial 16S ribosomal RNA
Rfam family: Bacterial small subunit ribosomal RNA
Source: RNAcentral